AUUGAACGCUGGCGGCAGGCCUAACACAUGCAAGUCGAACGGUAACAGGAAGCAGCUUGCCGCUUCGCUGACGAGUGGCGGACGGGUGAGUAAUGUCUGGGAAACUGCCUGAUGGAGGGGGAUAACUACUGGAAACGGUAGCUAAUACCGCAUAACGUCGCAAGACCAAAGAGGGGGACCUUAGGGCCUCUUGCCAUCGGAUGUGCCCAGAUGGGAUUAGCUAGUAGGUGGGGUAACGGCUCACCUAGGCGACGAUCCCUAGCUGGUCUGAGAGGAUGACCAGCCACACUGGAACUGAGACACGGUCCAGACUCCUACGGGAGGCAGCAGUGGGGAAUAUUGCACAAUGGGCGCAAGCCUGAUGCAGCCAUGCCGCGUGUAUGAAGAAGGCCUUCGGGUUGUAAAGUACUUUCAGCGGGGAGGAAGGGAGUAAAGUUAAUACCUUUGCUCAUUGACGUUACCCGCAGAAGAAGCACCGGCUAACUCCGUG
Molecule: ribosomal RNA, 490 nt
Filed under: uncultured bacterium
Lineage: Bacteria
Description: partial 16S ribosomal RNA
Rfam family: Bacterial small subunit ribosomal RNA
Source: RNAcentral